CCUACGGGAGGCAGCAGUGGGGAAUAUUGCACAAUGGGGGAAACCCUGAUGCAGCGACGCCGCGUGAGUGAAGAAGUAUUUCGGUAUGUAAAGCUCUAUCAGCAGGGAAGAAAAUGACGGUACCUGAUUAAGAAGCCCCGGCUAACUACGUGCCAGCAGCCGCGGUAAGACGUAGGGGGCAAGCGUUAUCCGGAUUUACUGGGUGUAAAGGGAGCGUAGACGGCAGCACAAGUCUGUAGUGAAAUGCCGGGGCUUAACCCCGGAACUGCUUUGGAAACUGUGCAGCUAGAGUGCAGGUGAGGUAAGUGGAAUUCCUAGUGUAGCGGUGAAAUGCGUAGAUAUUAGGAGGAACACCAGUGGCGAAGGCGGCUUACUGGACUGUAACUGACGUUGAGGCUCAAAAGCGUGGGGAGCAAACAGGAUUAGAUACCCUGGUAGUC
RNAcentral lists this ribosomal RNA (440 nucleotides) under uncultured bacterium. Its description in RNAcentral is "partial 16S ribosomal RNA". It matches the Rfam family "Bacterial small subunit ribosomal RNA", at positions 338 to 795 of the family's 1533-position model. The record is from RNAcentral.